RNAcentral lists this ribosomal RNA (255 nucleotides) under uncultured bacterium. RNAcentral describes it as "partial 16S ribosomal RNA". It matches the Rfam family "Bacterial small subunit ribosomal RNA", at positions 135 to 404 of the family's 1533-position model. The record is from RNAcentral.
GGUUCGGAACAACCCUGGGAAAGUAGGGUUAAUACCGGAUACGCCCUUUUGGGGAAAGGUUUACUGCCGGAAGAUCGGCCCGCGUCUGAUUAGAUAGUUGGUGGGGUAACGGCCUACCAAGGCGACGAUCAGUAGCUGGUCUGAGAGGAUGAUCAGCCACUCUGGGGGUGAGACACCGGCCCAGACUCCUACGGGAGGCAGCAGUGGGGAAUAUUGAAAAGUGGGCGCAAGCCUGAUCCAUCCCAUGCCGCGUGA